Long non-coding RNA from Anthonomus grandis grandis, 2311 nucleotides. RefSeq lists it as uncharacterized. The record is from RefSeq and is a predicted model, not a curated record. NCBI's taxonomy places the organism in Eukaryota, Metazoa, Arthropoda, Insecta, Coleoptera, Curculionidae. The transcript is spliced from 2 exons.
CGGAAAAUCUAAAACUUAAAUACCGGCGCUAUAAUAAUGCCGAAGAUAAAGAAAAUCUUGAAAAGGUGCUGAAUAUGAUAAAAAAUAAAAGAAUUAGCUUUUGUCAGGCGAGUAAACAAUACGGUUUUCCAAAAGGCACAUUGUCCAAUAAGUUAAACAACCGCCACACUGGAAAAAUUGGAAAACCAUUUGUCCUUCCGGUAGAAUUGGAAAAUGCUAUUGUGCAACACGUCCUACUUGUAAGUGAAUGGGGUUUUCCAUUUGAUUAUACAGAUUUGUCUCACUUGGUACAGCAACUAAUCCUUAAGCACGGAAUAGAUGCUCCUCAACUGCCUGAAAAUAAGUUGCCCAGUAAGAAGUGGUGUCUCAGAUUUAUUAGAAGACACAAAAAUUAUCUCACUUUAAGAAUUUGUCAAAAUUUGAAAAAAUCUAAGGCAAGCAUAACACCUGGGAAAAUGACGCAAUACUUUUCCAAUUUAAAAGAAAUAGUUUUUGAAAACGGUGAGCUUUUACCUCCAAACAGGAUAUUUAAUUAUGAUGAGCCAAAUUUGUCAGAUGACUCGGGGACGAAAAAAUGUAUUUUUCCAAGAGGCAUAAAAUACCCCGAACGCAUCAGAGAUUCAUCGAAAAGUAGCAUUUCCGUAAUGUUCUGUGGAUCUGCGGAUGGACGUAUACUCCCACCGUACGUAGUAUAUAAGGCUGAAAAUUUGUGGCAAACCUGGACUGAAGGAGGACCAAAAAAUACCCGAUAUAAUUGCAGUAAGAGCGGUUGGUUUGAAGCAGUUAUUUUUGCCGAUUGGUUCCUAAAUUCAUUUAUACCUUUUCGAAAAAACAUUGAAGGGCGAGUCGUGCUCAUAGGAGAUAAUCUCUCAAGUCAUUUCUCUGAAGAGGUAAUGCGAGCAGUUUAAGAAAACAAUAUUUCAUUUUGUUGUCUUCCCAAAAAUUCUACCCACAUCACUCAGCCGCUAGAUGUUGCCUUUUAUGGGCCUUUAAAGCGAAAGUGGAGAUCCAUAUUAGAUACAUGGAAACAGUCGCUAAAAAAAAGUCGCAAGUGUUACCAAAAUAAAUAUUUCCUCGAUUAUUGAAAUCGUUAUGUGAUGCUGUUGCACCAGAUUGCAAGUCCGAUAACUUGGUAUCCGGAUUCAAGAAGUGCGGGAUUUAUCCAUGGAACCCUGAGGAAGUAUUAGGUCGGUUUCCGAGAAAGCCCAGUAAAAAUAAUGAUCCUAGUAGUUCUCAGGUGGUUUCGGAUGUCGUUUUAAAUAUGUUAAUGAACAUGAGAUACGGAGAAAAAAAUACCAAUGCCCCUGCCAGAAAAAGGUCUAAAAUAGACGUAGCUCCUGGAAAAAGUAUCGCCUUUGAAGAUCUCACCCCACAGAAUAACAUCCCAUCAACCAGCAAAGGAGCUGCCAGAAAAACUUUGGAAAACAAAAAGCAAUCUUUAAAAAAUUAUAACCGAUCGUCAGUCUCGUCAGAAGAAAGCGAUAGCAGCGAUUCUAACAAUAUUGUGUAUAUGGACUCGUCGGAAGAAGAUCUUCUUACCAUUGUCCAGAAGGACAAGAGAAACAAGAAACCUUGUGCUUAAGCAGCUCUGAAGAAAGUGCUUCUUUAGCUUCUGUUUCACCGAAGUCCCCUGGGCAGACAUCAAAGGUUUGCGCUCUAUUAGAGACUUCAACCUACAGCCCUUCUUUUCAAACAGUUUCUGAUUUUCCUGUCUACAAUUUUGUAUUGGCCGAAUUUAUAUACAACGAAGGAACAAAAAAGGAGGCAAAAAAAGUGUUCGUCUCAAAAAUCAUUUCCAAGGAUGAAAGCGGCUUUAAAGUGAGUUGUCUUCGACGAUAUGGGCAAAAACCCUCAACUUUUAUUUUCCCUCAAGUGGAAGACAUAUCUUCUAUUGAUUGUAGCUAAAUAAAAUGCACAUUAAGAAAUCCUACAGAGUUUAGGGGGCAUUUUACUUUCAAUGAAGAUUUAGGAAAUAUUUAAUAGGUCCUUUCACUUCUGAUCUCAACCUGCCCUCUGCCGAAAAAAGAAAAUUUGUUUCCUUUUAAUUAGUAUCUAACCUAGGUAAUACCUAUUUAUGCUAUUUUUUUAGGUAAUAUAUGAAUAAUUAAGAUUUAGUUGGCGUGAGUGGUAUUUACGGGUAUUUGUUAUUUUUUGUUAACAAAAAAAAAAAAUGUUAUGAUUAUGUUUAAUUAAUACCUAAUCUUUUGUAUCUUUAGAUAAUAUCUAACCUAUGCACCUUUUAUUUGUUCAUUUGCGUUUUAUUAAACAAUUCGUUUAUUUGUUUAUUUCAAUAAAUAUCUAUUAAUAAUUU